AAUGAACGCUGGCGGCAGGCCUAACACAUGCAAGUCGAAUGGAGUUAUAUUGUAGCUUGCUAUGGUAUAACUUAGUGGCAGACGGGUGAGUAAUGUAUAGGAAUCUACCUAGUAGUACGGAAUAAUUGUUGGAAAGGGCAACUAAUACCGUAUACGCCUACGGGGAAAAGUUAAUUGUUAUUAGAUGAGCCUAUAUUAGAUUAGUUAGUUGGUGAGGUAAAGGCUUACCAAGACAAUGAUCUAUAGCUGAUCUGAGAGGAUGAUCAGCCACACUGGAACUGAGAUACGGUCCAGACUCCUACGGGAGGCAGCAGUGGGG
Molecule: ribosomal RNA, 319 nt
Filed under: uncultured Rickettsiales bacterium
Lineage: Bacteria; Pseudomonadati; Pseudomonadota; Alphaproteobacteria; Rickettsiales
Description: bacterial SSU rRNA
Rfam family: Bacterial small subunit ribosomal RNA
Source: RNAcentral